Molecule: long non-coding RNA, 512 nt
Organism: Oncorhynchus keta (chum salmon)
Lineage: Eukaryota; Metazoa; Chordata; Actinopteri; Salmoniformes; Salmonidae
Exons: 3
Source: RefSeq, a predicted model, not a curated record
ACUGAACAGGUUACCUUCUUUAGGUAGAAGAACCAUACUGAACAGGUUACCUUCUUUAGGUAGAAGAACCAUACUGAACAGGUUACCUUCUUUAGGUAGAAGAACCAUACUGAACAGGUUACCUUCUUUAGGUAGAAGAACCAUACUGAACAGGUUACCUUCUUUAGGUAGAAGAACCAUACUGAACAGGUUACCUUCUUUAGGUAGAAGAACCAUACUGAACAGGUUACCUUCUUUAGGUAGAAGAACCAUACUGAACAGGUUACCUUCUUUAGGUAGAAGAACCAUACUGAACAGGUUACCUUCUUUAGGUAGAAGAACCAUACUGAACAGGUUACCUUCUUUAGGUAGAAGAACCAUACUGAACAGGUUACCUUCUUUAGGUAGAAGAACCAUACUGAACAGGUUACCUUCUUUAGGUAGAAGAACCAUACUGAACAGGUUACCUUCUUUAGGUAGAAGAACCAUACUGAACAGGUUACCUUCUUUAGGUAGAAGAACCAUACUGAACA